UACGUAGGUGGCAAGCGUUAUCCGGAUUUAUUGGGCGUAAAGGGAACGCAGGCGGUCUUUUAAGUCUGAUGUGAAAGCCUUCGGCUUAACCGGAGUAGUGCAUUGGAAACUGGGAGACUUGAGUGCAGAAGAGGAGAGUGGAACUCCAUGUGUAGCGGUGAAAUGCGUAGAUAUAUGGAAGAACACCGGUGGCGAAAGCGGCUCUCUGGCCUGUAACUGACACUGAGGCUCGAAAGCGUGGGGAGCAAACAGG
Molecule: ribosomal RNA, 253 nt
Filed under: uncultured bacterium
Lineage: Bacteria
Description: partial 16S ribosomal RNA
Rfam family: Bacterial small subunit ribosomal RNA
Source: RNAcentral